CCUACGGGAGGCAGCAGUAAGGAAUCUUGCGCAAUGGGCGAAAGCCUGACGCAGCGACGCCGCGUGGGCGAUGAAGGCCUUCGGGUUGUAAAGCCCUUUUCUGGGGGACGAGGAAGGACGGUACCCCAGGAAUAAGUCACGGCUAACUACGUGCCAGCAGCCGCGGUAAAACGUAGGAGGCAAGCGUUAUCCGGAUUUACUGGGCGUAAAGCGCGCGCAGGCGGUUCUGUAAGUUGGACGUGAAAUCUCCUGGCUCAACUGGGAGGGGUCGUCCAAUACUGCGGGACUUGAGGUCGGGAGAGGGAAGCGGAAUUCCCGGUGUAGUGGUGGAAUGCAUAGAUAUCGGGAGGAACACCAGUGGCGAAGGCGGUCUCCUGGCCCGUUACUGACGCUCAGGCACGAAAGCGUGGGGAUCAAACAGGAUUAGAUCCCCCUGUAGU
Molecule: ribosomal RNA, 440 nt
Filed under: uncultured Anaerolineae bacterium
Lineage: Bacteria; Bacillati; Chloroflexota; Anaerolineae
Description: partial 16S ribosomal RNA
Rfam family: Bacterial small subunit ribosomal RNA
Source: RNAcentral